Molecule: long non-coding RNA, 281 nt
Filed under: Carica papaya (papaya)
Lineage: Eukaryota; Viridiplantae; Streptophyta; Magnoliopsida; Brassicales; Caricaceae
Description: long non-coding RNA (CPAP_LNC003462)
Source: RNAcentral
GUAGAUUCUCUAUAACUAAAGCUCAAAAAGUAGUAAAGAAAAGAAAAAAAAAGGAAGGAAAAAGAAAUAAAAGAAAGGAUUACAUGAUAGAAUUUUUAGGCUAAAAUGGGUGGGUUUGGGGUGGGAUAAAUUGAUAGCAUUCCUUAAAGGAUUUUCUUGGCAGCUGCAUGGAGCAAGAUCAAUCCCACAAAUAUCAGCCAACCUGAUGAGAUAGAGCAGCACAUCAGAGAGCUCUUCUCCUAGAUGCUCCUUAUCCGANNNNNNNNUUUGGCAAUCCUUUC